This 334-nucleotide long non-coding RNA is filed under the name Oryza sativa Indica Group (long-grained rice). Its description in RNAcentral is "lncRNA OsMH63_08G013150". The record is from RNAcentral. Lineage: Eukaryota; Viridiplantae; Streptophyta; Magnoliopsida; Poales; Poaceae.
ACUCGAGCAAUUGAGGGCUGUGGUGUUAUUCUAGACUAUCGUCAACAUGAGAGAUACGCCCGGGAGGACACAUAUGAGAGGGGUGACACAAAGCUCACGGUGAGGGUAAUUAUAUUAUCUGGCUUGCAAGGAAAGCCUAAGUUAAUGACAGUUUUUUUACUAGCUGUAUACAAACAUAUAAACAGGGGUGAAAGAAUCCCCUACGGGCGUGGAGACAAGGUGGACUGCGACAUCGAUCUCGCGGGCACAGAGGAGGUGGAGGUGAGGUGGCUGGCCAGCUCGAAGUCACAACACUCGUUAAUCACGAUGGGCGCAGUGGGAUGAGCGGCGGUGC